RNAcentral lists this small RNA (96 nucleotides) under Pseudomonas sp. NFACC15-1. RNAcentral's name for it is "t44 RNA". It matches the Rfam family "t44 RNA". Rfam says of the family: This family consists of a number of bacterial RNA genes of between 135 and 170 bases in length. The t44 gene is found between the map and rpsB genes in all species in the full alignment apart from Shigella flexneri. RNAcentral also lists the same sequence under 2 other names. Lineage: Bacteria; Pseudomonadati; Pseudomonadota; Gammaproteobacteria; Pseudomonadales; Pseudomonadaceae. The record is from RNAcentral.
CGUAAGCUUAAAUCCACACACGUGUCGACACGAUGACCUGGGUGCCUUCGGUUAUAUAGCCGCUGGUUGGUCAUUGGGAUACGUGGAGGCCAAACC